This 995-nucleotide long non-coding RNA is filed under the name Aotus nancymaae (Ma's night monkey). Its description in RNAcentral is "lncRNA (ENSANAG00000039229.1)". Lineage: Eukaryota; Metazoa; Chordata; Mammalia; Primates; Aotidae. The record is from RNAcentral.
GAGGAGUAGGUCAGACGAAACUCGAAUCUGGACACCUUAAACGUGGAUAUUUGGAAGAGGGAUGUGCCUCGGUAGAGUUUCAGAUGUUAUCGGAAAGCGGACAGGUACGGAGCACGUCUAUCUUGACGCCAGCGAUGAGCUACCAGCAACACACCUGCUCCACCGCCAGCCAGGGAUUCGGGUUCAACAUUAAAGUUAUGAAGAAAGCAGCAGCUAGUUCAGCUGAGUCAUCAUAAAAGUCCAGGAGAAGCAGUAUGAAAAGAAAACUAAAUGACAAAACAAAGGAAAUAAUCUCCCAGCAGAGAGAUCCUGGUGAAAAGCAGUUUGAUCCACUGGCCAAUGAUGUAACUUGGGGGAAUUUUUGCCACAAGUAUUUGCUAACUACUGAAUUUAAUUAAAGUAGCUUUGUUGACCAAAACCACAAUCCACUAUUAAAGGUUUGUGUGAAAAGCACUGGGAAUGAGAUCUGCAUUUUGUAAUAACCAUGAAACUAUAAGUACCUUCAUGGGAAAAGGGUAGCUGCUGCCGUUUUUGCCACAGUGAGGUCCCUCUACUCGCUCUGUCAAGGCAAUUUACUUCAAUUAGAAUUGGAAUUUCAUUUGGGUUUCCUUAGACACAAUUAUCUAUUCAGAAAUAUUUAUUAUAUAUAUGCCAAAUUCUGGGUUGGGGAAGUCAAGACAUGUACACAAGUAAUUAUAAUGCAUGAUUAAUGCAAUUGUGAUCAGAAGACUAUGAGCUAUAUUUAAUACCAAAGAAGAACAAAGCACUUUGUGGACGGGAUCCUUCACUGGCUAUCGAUGCCAGGAGAGGCCUAACUGCAUAAUAGUUAAGCAAACAGACUUGGGAACCGGGCAGACCUGGAUUCAACGUAUCUUUGCCAUUAAUCAGUUGUGUUGUCUGGGACAGGUUUAUUGCCUUCUCAAAGAUAUAAUUUCCUCAUUCAUAAAAGGUAGACAAAACACUACUUACUUCACAGGAUGCUUAUGAAGAUUAAC